GUCGAACGCUGGCGGCGUGCUUAACACAUGCAAGUCGAACGGAAAGGCCCUGCUUUUGUGGGGUGCUCGAGUGGCGAACGGGUGAGUAACACGUGAGUAACCUGCCCUUGACUUUGGGAUAACUUCAGGAAACUGGGGCUAAUACCGGAUAGGAGCUCCUGCUGCAUGGUGGGGGUUGGAAAGUUUCGGCGGUUGGGGAUGGGCUCGCGGCUUAUCAGCUUGUUGGUGGGGUAGUGGCUUACCAAGGCUUUGACGGGUAGCCGGCCUGAGAGGGUGACCGGCCACAUUGGGACUGAGAUACGGCCCAGACUCCUACGGGAGGCAGCAGUGGGGAAUAUUGCACAAUGGGCGGAAGCCUGAUGCAGCAACGCCGCGUGCGGGAUGACGGCCUUCGGGUUGUAAACCGCUUUCGCCUGUGACGAAGCGUGAGUGACGGUAAUGGGUAAAGAAGCACCGGCUAACUACGUG
Molecule: ribosomal RNA, 468 nt
Filed under: uncultured bacterium
Lineage: Bacteria
Description: partial 16S ribosomal RNA
Rfam family: Bacterial small subunit ribosomal RNA
Source: RNAcentral